UGCUGAGGCUCCAUUCGUUCUCAAGCUCGUGCGCUAUUUCGUUUUGUCUAAAUUACACGUGAGCCCUUCCACCAAACCCGUUCUUGUCUAUUCUCGGCUUCCGGACUCCGACGGCGACGGCCGGACCACCCUAGAUUUGGGUCACGCCGCAGGGCUCCGCCAAAUCCAAGAGCCCGUGUGUUUUUUCGAGGAAAAAAACACAAGUGUACUGUCGAAGAGGAUUAAGAAGACUUCUCCUCUGGCGAGGGCAAUGCAGCCGUGUAUGCAUAGGCACACUCUUGCAUAGUACACGAAGGACCCGGUGAUGUCAACCAGGCCGGCAAAAAGCGCAAGUUGCACAAUGGAUUACCUCUCAUGGGAAAGCGACUAUAAUUUCUGACAUGAUUCUUUUCUACUCCUAGCUACUCUGUAUUUCAUUUCGCAUUGUGACACCACGCCAUCAACUAGUGUCUUCACAUUCAGAAGGCAAUUAAAUGUCCCCACGAAAGAAAACCCUGGAUCGUGACGUGCACAGAAAAAGGCAACCACUGAAACCGACGUGCACCAAUGGGUGCUCGGCAGGGAGGCCAUCUGGAAUGAUGUGCAGCUGACAAGUUUUGGCUGGACAAGGAGUUGCUGCCAAAUAAUUGGAGGGUGUUCAAGGAAUUUCGUGAAGACUUGAGAGAGGCAAGCAGAAUUGGGCACGUGCAUGGAGCCCUUCCUGUUUAUCGACUAUCAACGUUCAGCCCGCUGUCAUAUUUUAAUCUGUAGCGUCAGCAGAUGUUUCAAAUGAUACUCUAAUGAGUGUAGUGUGAUUACUAAUGUACACCCUGGGUCCAAAAUUAAUUCGGGA
Long non-coding RNA from Brachypodium distachyon (stiff brome), 832 nucleotides. RefSeq lists it as uncharacterized. NCBI's taxonomy places the organism in Eukaryota, Viridiplantae, Streptophyta, Magnoliopsida, Poales, Poaceae. The record is from RefSeq and is a predicted model, not a curated record. The transcript is spliced from 3 exons.